This 292-nucleotide ribosomal RNA is filed under the name uncultured bacterium. RNAcentral describes it as "partial 16S ribosomal RNA". It matches the Rfam family "Bacterial small subunit ribosomal RNA", at positions 505 to 796 of the family's 1533-position model. The record is from RNAcentral.
GUGCCAGCAGCCGCGGUAAUACGGGGGGGGCAAGCGUUGUUCGGAAUUACUGGGCGUAAAGGGCUCGUAGGCGGCCAACUAAGUCCGACGUGAAAUCCCUAGGCUUAACCUAGGAACUGCGUCGGAUACUGGAUGGCUUGAAUCCGGGAGAGGGAUGCGGAAUUCCAGGUGUAGCGGUGAAAUGCGUAGAUAUCUGGAGGAACACCGGUGGCGAAGGCGGCAUCCUGGACCGGUAUUGACGCUGAACAGCGAAAGCCAGGGGAGCAAACGGGAUUAGAUACCCCCGUAGUCC